UUUCGCUGAAUCCUUCGUAUCCUGUUAAAGUUCUUGAGUUAGUGAUUCAAACCAAAAAGAAACAAGACACUAAGACAGUGUUGAUAGUUAUUCAAAACUUCCUUAACCUUCAGGCAGGGAAUUACUAGGCAAAAGAGGCAUUUUUCAAUGAUAAAAGAGUUGUUAAUUUGUUAUUUAAUUAACAUUGUUCAACAGUCUAAAUGGAAAAAUGAUCCCCUCAGAAAUAAAAAUUAGCAUAUUUGCAACAUAACUAAUCAGUCCACAUUGUGUGCCAAGUGUGCACUAUGACCAACACAACCUAUUCUCAAAUUUGGCAAUACAAGUCACUAAAAGUGUUUCUCAGCAAGAGCCUUCCUCUGAGAGAUAACCCCACAAAAAUAGCUAGUUGAUUACUAUGCAUUGUAUCAAU
RNAcentral lists this unclassified non-coding RNA (409 nucleotides) under Hevea brasiliensis (rubber tree). The record is from RNAcentral. Lineage: Eukaryota; Viridiplantae; Streptophyta; Magnoliopsida; Malpighiales; Euphorbiaceae.